CCUACGGGGGGCAGCAGUAGGGAAUUUUCGUCAAUGGGCGCAAGCCUGAACGAGCAAUGCCGCGUGAACGAGGAAGGUCUUCGGAUCGUAAAGUUCUGUUGAAGGGGAAAAAGAGCGGAGAGAGGAAAUGCUUUCUGAUUGAUAUUACCCUUCGAGGAAGUCACGGCUAACUACGUGCCAGCAGCCGCGGUAAUACGUAGGUGGCGAGCGUUAUCCGGAAUGAUUGGGCGUAAAGGGUGCGUAGGCGGCCUGCUAAGUCUGGAGUGAAAGGUACCGGCUCAACCGGUACAGGCUCUGGAAACUGGCGGGCUAGAGUGGGCGAGAAGUAUGCGGAAUGCGUGGUGUAGCGGUGAAAUGCAUAGAUAUCACGCAGAACUCCGAUUGCGAAGGCAGCAUACCGGCGCCCAACUGACGCUGAAGCACGAAAGCGUGGGUAGCAAACAGGAUUAGAUACCCCUGUAGUC
This 464-nucleotide ribosomal RNA is filed under the name uncultured bacterium. RNAcentral describes it as "partial 16S ribosomal RNA". It matches the Rfam family "Bacterial small subunit ribosomal RNA", at positions 338 to 795 of the family's 1533-position model. The record is from RNAcentral.